This 492-nucleotide ribosomal RNA is filed under the name Salmonella enterica subsp. enterica serovar Give. RNAcentral's name for it is "partial 23S ribosomal RNA". It matches the Rfam family "Bacterial large subunit ribosomal RNA", at positions 1 to 532 of the family's 2925-position model. Lineage: Bacteria; Pseudomonadati; Pseudomonadota; Gammaproteobacteria; Enterobacterales; Enterobacteriaceae. The record is from RNAcentral.
GGUUAAGCGACUAAGCGUACACGGUGGAUGCCCUGGCAGUCAGAGGCGAUGAAGGACGUGCUAAUCUGCGAUAAGCGCCGGUAAGGUGAUAUGAACCGUUAUAACCGGCGAUUUCCGAAUGGGGAAACCCAGUGUGACUCGUCACACUAUCAUUAACUGAAUCCAUAGGUUAAUGAGGCGAACCGGGGGAACUGAAACAUCUAAGUACCCCGAGGAAAAGAAAUCAACCGAGAUUCCCCCAGUAGCGGCGAGCGAACGGGGAGGAGCCCAGAGCCUGAAUCAGCAUGUGUGUUAGUGGAAGCGUCUGGAAAGGCGCGCGAUACAGGGUGACAGCCCCGUACACAAAAGCGCAUGUGCUGUGAGCUCGAUGAGUAGGGCGGGACACGUGGUAUCCUGUCUGAAUAUGGGGGGACCAUCCUCCAAGGCUAAAUACUCCUGACUGACCGAUAGUGAACCAGUACCGUGAGGGAAAGGCGAAAAGAACCCCGGCGA